GAAGGUGUAGCUCAGUGGUAGAGGACGUGCCUAGGAUUCACGAGGUCCAGGGUUCAAUCCCCAGUCCCUCCA
RNAcentral lists this transfer RNA (72 nucleotides) under Camelus bactrianus (Bactrian camel). It matches the Rfam family "tRNA". From Rfam's summary of the family: Transfer RNA (tRNA) molecules are approximately 80 nucleotides in length. Their secondary structure includes four short double-helical elements and three loops (D, anti-codon, and T loops). RNAcentral also lists the same sequence under 2 other names. Lineage: Eukaryota; Metazoa; Chordata; Mammalia; Artiodactyla; Camelidae. The record is from Rfam by way of RNAcentral.